Maniola jurtina (meadow brown) is the source of this 104-nucleotide long non-coding RNA. RefSeq lists it as uncharacterized. NCBI's taxonomy places the organism in Eukaryota, Metazoa, Arthropoda, Insecta, Lepidoptera, Nymphalidae. The record is from RefSeq and is a predicted model, not a curated record. The transcript is spliced from 3 exons.
ACACUCUUAAAACUACUUACGUAAUACAUUUACUUUAGUUUUGUUGUCAAUAAAUUACGUAAGCUACUUACGUGAGUAAAACUUAUAGGCGUAGCCGCGGCCUU